GUAGGUGAACCUGCGGAGGGAUCAUUACAGAGACUCUGCCCUUUGGGUAGACCUCCCACCCUGUGUCGUUAUACCUUUGUUGCUUUGGCGGGCCGCGGGGCUUAGGCCCUGCCCCUGGCUCCGGCUAGGGCGCGCCCGCCAGAGGACCUCAAAACCUGAAUGUUAGUGUCGUCUGAGUACUAUAUAAUAGUUAAAACUUUCAACAACGGAUCUCUUGGUUCUG
Molecule: unclassified non-coding RNA, 223 nt
Filed under: rhizosphere metagenome
Description: partial ribosomal RNA internal transcribed spacer region
Source: RNAcentral